AACGAACGCUGGCGGCAGGCCUAACACAUGCAAGUCGAGCGCGCCCUUCGGGGUGAGCGGCGGACGGGUGAGUAACGCGUGGGAACGUGCCCUUUUCUACGGAAUAGCCUCGGGAAACUGAGAGUAAUACCGGAUACGCCCUUUGGGGGAAAGAUUUAUCGGAAAAGGAUCGGCCCGCGUUGGAUUAGGUAGUUGGUGGGGUAAUGGCCUACCAAGCCGACGAUCCAUAGCUGGUUUGAGAGGAUGAUCAGCCACACUGGGACUGAGACACGGCCCAGACUCCUACGGGAGGCAGCAGUGGGGAAUCUUAGACAAUGGGGGCAACCCUGAUCUAGCCAUGCCGCGUGAGUGAUGAAGGCCUUAGGGUUGUAAAGCUCUUUCAGCUGGGAAGAUAAUGACGGUACCAGCAGAAGAAGCCCCGGCUAACUCCGUG
Molecule: ribosomal RNA, 433 nt
Filed under: uncultured bacterium
Lineage: Bacteria
Description: partial 16S ribosomal RNA
Rfam family: Bacterial small subunit ribosomal RNA
Source: RNAcentral